Molecule: long non-coding RNA, 1023 nt
Filed under: Apteryx owenii (little spotted kiwi)
Lineage: Eukaryota; Metazoa; Chordata; Aves; Apterygiformes; Apterygidae
Description: lncRNA (ENSAOWG00000015228.1)
Source: RNAcentral
CAAAAUUCUUUCUUACCAAUGGCUUUAUUAUUCCCUGCAACCUAUAUGACCUUUGAAAUACCAUAAAAGCUCAAUGAAGAGCCACUUGAAAAGAAAAAAGAAACAGAGCUUGUCAGAGCACUGGUGGGGGGAUAGUCUCCCUGAUUGUUUACCCUGCCUGUUUUCUGUUCAUAGAAAUGAAUAGAAAAUGAGCUAUUUAUACCUGGAUGAUACAAAAUAUGUGGGAGGAAAUUUUGAGAAAGUAUAUGGCAAUUACAGAAUGUCUGUCAUUGAGCUGCUGCUGAUAACGUCUAGGAGAAUUUUGCUCUAGACAUCAGUGACAGCAAUACGUCUGUCAAUGAGUACAGUGCAUGUCUUCUCUCCAACAGAAAAGAAAGGAAGUGCUUAUCGCAACAGUGCCAUCCUCCUCCCAGAAAGUUGAUUCUCCAAGUUUGGACUGCAAUGCUGAAUGUUACUGUGUGUAACCCCUCUGUGAAGACUUAGAAGGCAAGAUAGGUGUUAUCUCUGCAGCUGGGAGUGCCAGGUCCUUUCGCUGGAUGUUUUCCAGUGACCUUUGGAGUCCCUGCAGGGAGUGAGGGGCCCUAUCUCACGUCACCCGCCAGUGGUUCCAUGAGAGUUGAUGCUGCCCCAUCAGCCUGCCACAUGGUCAGUCUGGCAGUGAAAUCGCUCUGCAGCAGGGUCAACAUGCUGCAGAUGGGUAUUUCAGCACAGUAUUCCAACCUAUACCCCCAAGAUCAUGUCCACAGUACAAACAAGGACUGGUUAGAAAGGAUGAUAAAGCCUAAGCCAUGCUGUACCAUCUUCUUUUUAAAAAUCCUUUGAGGUCCAUAAAAAGUUAUGUCUAAGUCAGUGGUAAGGUUUUUCAUUACUUAAGUGGCCUUUCCAAAAUGUAUUAACUCAUCUUUGUAAAUGUACCUUCUGAAAACCAGAAGAUUGGAGAUUGACUUUUUUUGGUCUCCUUGCAUGUUGCCAAAGUUGUGGUUACCCCAGUAAACUACCUGUUGCAUUAAAAGCGUAUGUAUG